ACUCCAGGAAAAAAAGAGUAACGUUAGGAAAAAGGCUUGUGUCUCUCUGUGACCAACCAGGUUAUGAUGACAAUUUCACUGAAAGUCUCUGACAUUGAGAAAAUUACAAGCCCAUUGUGGUGCUAUAGUAGUGUAGUCAAUGUCCAACCGGUGGCCUCUGAAGUGGCUAAGGAGGGCUCACAAAGUAAUGAGUAAGAGAGCAAAGCUCCAGCCCUUAAACAGGCUAAGCUCCUCACUUGGAGACCGGUACAGUGACAACCUUUAAGGUUCAAGGGGACUUGCUCUUUAAGCCUUGAAGAAAAACUUUUUGUUUAUGUGACCUUUGUUAAUAGAACCACGGAACUCCAAUGCCAUCUUCUUAAUGAAUAUUCCAACUGGAAAAGGCAAAGUCUCCCCUCUCUGACACAAUUCUCCCAUAUUCUGCUACCUUUCCUUAGGGACUAGCAGCAAACAAGAAAACAAUUCAUAUAUAUUUUAUAAAUCUUGGGCUAAUGGCAUAAGAUAAAAAACUUAAGGCAUGGGGUUGGGGAUUAAGCUCAGUGGUAGAGUGCUUGCCUAGCGAGCACAAGGCCCUGGGUUCGGUCCCCAGCUCCGAAAAAAAAAAGAAAAAAAACCAAAAAACAAAAAAACUUAAGGCAUAAAUACAUGUUUUACCUCAACAAAAUAAUGGAAAUGAAAUUUGAAGUUGUAAGGAUAGAUUAACUUCUGUUUAAUUGAGUGGGGGGAGGAUCAAUAAACUCGGUCAGAGUGUAGAAAAGGGGAAAAGAAAAACAUUCACUGCUGAGAAGGUCAUAGAUUGGAAUAAAGAUUUGAGCUGGAUGUGCUUGUCCAGUCCACACUGUGCCUAUGUGUCUCUGAGACUGAGUAAGAGACUGAAAUCAUACAGCUCUGCUCACCAGGGAAGUUCAGCUUAAAACAUCAGUCUAGCUUUGCUAAGAAUGGGCUUCAAAGCUUAAAAAAGAGAAAAGGGGCAGGAGUUAGCUUAUCUCAUGAACGCUGUCUCUGGUGUGCUGUAGAGGACAGUCAGCUACAGAGGAAGAUCACAGCCUAUGCCCUCCUUUCACUACUUAUUCUGGUAUUAGCUGUCUCACUCAACCGUCCAACUUUUAGCAUUAGCAAAGCAUUCCCAGGGAAGUAAAAAAUACAAUCUCUUUUUCUGGUCUGUCUUUCAUCAUCUGCACUAUUUUCUAGAUUCCAGGUAUAACUACUAAUUCAAAAAGCCAAGGAAGUACUAGUAUAUAUAUAUACAUAUGUAUACAUGCAUACAUGUUUUGCUUUGGUUGUUGUUGGCUGGCCUGGAAUUCACUCCUGCUGGGAUUAAAGGUGUGUAUCACUGUGCCUAGCUUGAAGAAUGUUCACAACAGGAUUUUAUUGUUUCAGGUAAAUGAAGCUGCUAGAAGGAGGCAUGCCUAUCAUCUGAGGGCAGACUCACGUGUAGCAACAGAGGCAAGCACAUGGAUGUGGAAGGAAGGAAGGAAGGAAGGAAGGAAGGAAGGAAGGAAGGAAGAAAGGAAGGAAGAAAGGAAGGCAGGCCGGCCAUUCCCACUGAAUAUCUCAGGGACACACCUUUUUCUAAGCCUCCUACAAGCCACUCAAGGAAAUUUAACCUUUACAAGGAGUCCCUGAAGCUGUGACUCAGGGACCACAGAGGACUUAAGGAGGCCAGAAGCUCUGAAGGCCGAGUAACCAACCAAGCACUCCAAUCUUUACCUUCUUCUUUUCUGGAUUCCCAACAUUCGCCAGGGCUAUGAAGCGAGUGGCAUGCUGCGCACUUUCUUGUAGAACGACAUGGUUUCUGAAAGGCACGACAACUGACCUCAUCACUACAAAUCAACAGCUCCCAUUUUUGCCUUAAUUCCUGCCCUUCCAGUGCCACCUGCCCCUGCCCCCCCCUUUCCUGUUAAUGGGAGAGUUGGUGCUGAGGGAUGGAAAGAGGACCUGUAAAUGCUGCUGGUGGGGUGGGAAGCUGAGCAGCAGCUCACGCCUAAGUCAGAGCCGCCACCUGACCUGGCACCACUAGGCUUACACGCAAACCCCUUCAUGGGAACAGUGGAACCACCUAGCUACCCAGCUCAUGAGUGGGUUUUUAAAUGGUGCACAUACACAAUGGGAUUUCCAACAUUAAAACAAAAACACAUUUAUUUGCAGGAAAAUGGACUGAGCUAGAAAUCAUUAUAUAAAGAGAAACAAACUACUCAGACAGACAAACACUACACAUUUUCUCUAAAAUCUAGAUUUAAAAGUGUGUGUGUGCGCGCGCGCAGGUGUGUGUUUAUGUGAAAUCAGAAAAUGAGAGGAAGGACUCUUAACUGUGGUUAGGGUUAGGGUUAGGGUGGGACUGAGACAGGGUCGUGGACCACCAUUUUACUCUGGAUUUGCAACUGUGAAGUAGAUAAGAGUCCACAGGCUCAUUAGAAGAACAAGCCUUGAAUUCACCACAGGUCAUAUGACCUUCGAAGCUACCCAGCAUUCCAGUGCUUAUGGAUCCCUAAUCUCUUAUGUAAAAGACAUGAAAACAAUGAGACUACAAAAGUAUGUUCUAAGUUGAGCAGAUAUGCAUCAAACACUAAUAUGCAGUAUACUUUGAUUUUUACAGAUGUUGACUUGUCCUGGAUGCACGGUAGAACCGUUCUGUUAGCUUCUCUAGCUUUAAAAGUGCUCUGCACUUAUCAACACGGGUAACUAAGGGAAGACAAGUGUGAGCAAAGGCAACUCUUAAGGUGCUGGAGGGUGAGCAUCAGUACAAAUUCUUGGUGGGCAGAGAGAAACACAACGUCUCAGCUUUAGCCCAGGCUGGCUCUGAACUCACUGAAAUCCUCCUACUUCAACCUCCAAGUGUAAGGGAUUACAGGCAAGACACACCACACCCAGUUCAAUGUAAGUUCCUGAUUCUCAAACUGAAAUUCUAAAUUCCAAAGUGACUGUGCCGACAGCUGAGUAUUCAAGACUAAAUAAAGAACACACACUGAUUUGACCUGAUGAAGGCAGGACCUCACAGGUGCAGUAGCACAUGCCUUCAUCCCAGCACUCAGAGGCAGAGGCAGAUGGAUCUCUGUUGACAUUUUACCACAGCAACAAAAAUGAAACUAACACAGUGCCUUAGGACUCGACGAAACCAAGACACACGGCUAAAUGGGAACAGAGUUUACAGAGACCACCCAUAAGAUGUUACUCACCGGUAUGGAAGUCUCUCAUAAUACGACUUUUCCAACGCGGCAAAAUGAUACCUCGGUUUCAAGCUUACGGCAAGGCUAGAGAUCAAAGCAGAGCCACACUGUUUGGUAUCUACUUCUCCCUAGUAAAUGGGAACUUGGUUAGCCACACAGACUCAGGAAUUAUAAAGAAAUGUAAAGAAACAAGAAAACGUUUUGAAAUAUCUUUCAAAUUUAUACACAGAUGCAUAUUUGCAGUGAACUGCAUACCCUAGGGCAAUCAAACAUUUUAAAACAUUGGAAUAUUAAAAUUACAGAAUGGCACAAUCGUUGGAAACCAGAGGGAACAAGCCACGGCAAUUCCUCCACAGUAACCUCUACAACAAACAUUAAGACUCCUUUUGAGAAAAGGUCUCUCCCUACAGCCUUUAAACUACAUCUGCAUAACACAAUUCACAGUGCACAUGUGUAUCUGACAGAGUAAGUCAUGGUCGAGAAGUAAGUAAACACUAGCACCCAGAGUGACCAGGGCCCACAGACGUUCAAGGCUCUCAUUACCGAACAAGCUGUUCUUCUGUUCAGUCAAGGAAAUGGCACAGCCACUCCUAUGUUAAAGAGCUUAUGGGGGCUUUAACCCAGCACUCGGGAGGCCAAGGCCAAGGCAGGGAGAUCAGCCUGGUCUAUAUGGCUAGUUCCAGGACAGCCAGGGCUACAGAGACCCUGUCUCAAACAAAACAAAACAAAACAAAACAAAACAAA
Non-coding RNA from Rattus norvegicus (Norway rat), 3911 nucleotides. The record is from RefSeq and is a predicted model, not a curated record. Lineage: Eukaryota; Metazoa; Chordata; Mammalia; Rodentia; Muridae.